GGGCCCGCACAAGCGGUGGAGUAUGUGGUUUAAUUCGAUGCAACGCGAAGAACCUUACCAGGGUUUGACAUCCUGCGAAUCUCUUGGAAACGAGAGAGUGCCUUCGGGAACGCAGUGACAGGUGGUGCAUGGCUGUCGUCAGCUCGUGUCGUGAGAUGUUGGGUUAAGUCCCGCAACGAGCGCAACCCACGUCUUUAGUUGCCAGCAUUUAGUUGGGCACUCUAGAGAGACCGCCGGUGAUAAACCGGAGAAGGUGUGGAUGACGUCAAGUCAUCAUGCCCCUUACAUCUGGGCUACACACGUACUACAAUGCUACGGACAAAGAGCAGCAAGUUCGCGAGGACAAGCAAAUCUCAUAAACCGUGGCUCAG
RNAcentral lists this ribosomal RNA (371 nucleotides) under uncultured bacterium. RNAcentral's name for it is "bacterial SSU rRNA". It matches the Rfam family "Bacterial small subunit ribosomal RNA", at positions 917 to 1291 of the family's 1533-position model. The record is from RNAcentral.